Molecule: non-coding RNA, 669 nt
Organism: Phoenix dactylifera (date palm)
Lineage: Eukaryota; Viridiplantae; Streptophyta; Magnoliopsida; Arecales; Arecaceae
Source: RefSeq, a predicted model, not a curated record
ACCCCCAACCCCUUGCUCGGCCCCCUCUCCUCAUUUCCUAUCGGUCGAUGCCCUAGCUGCGAGCGCGCCGACUUCCCCGCUGCCGUCGACCUCUCCUUCUGAGCCCCGAUCGGCGAUUGAAGAUUCCGCUACUCCGCCGCCGUCGACCUUGCCGUCGUCUGAGCUGCGCGCCGACAUCUCACCUCCAUCCCGAGCGAGCCGUAGCUACUCCGCCGCCGUUGACAUCGCCGUCGUCUGAGAUUACAACAUGCCGCGAGGAAAACGUUUCAGAAAUAUUGAGUUUCAGCACACAUCCGUGGGAUCUACUUCUGAUCGUUCCCAGCAGCCCGAUGUGCCCCAUACUCAGUCCGGGUCCCAGUCUGAGCACGCCCCACCUGCAGAUCGUCCAGACACGGAUGACGUGGACGUCCUGGAUGGACUAGGGAGAGUGAGGAGAACACGAGGGCCCACUCGAGCACGAGACGUAUGGACCCUACCUGAGGAUGAGAAGAUUGUCGUCCAUUGCAACGAACUGGGGCAGCCCAUCAAGAAUGCAGCAAGCAUUUUAUCCACUUUUUUAGGAUCGGUUGCGCCGAAGGGACAAUUGUGUCCGCUCAACUUUACGAAAUGGAACAAAAUGCUUCCUUCGUAUAAGGUUGAGCUUCUUAGAGUUGUUGAGGUAAAGAAUUG